Molecule: long non-coding RNA, 411 nt
Organism: Manis javanica (Malayan pangolin)
Lineage: Eukaryota; Metazoa; Chordata; Mammalia; Pholidota; Manidae
Source: RefSeq, a predicted model, not a curated record
GCUGGGGUCAGACGGUUAGCUUUCCUCAGAGGAAAUCGUUCCAUGUGUAGCUGACGGUUCCGUGUGUCAGUGGGAGGACGUGACUGAGGAUCUGAGGUCGCUGUCUGAACUCGAUUUUCAAAAUGGCCAUCAUGAGUAUGCAAUGAGAAAAAUGUGAAGUGCUUAGAACAGUGCUUGAAACUGGGGUCCAGGACUCCGGGGUUUCCCAGAGAACAAGACACACAGACACGGAGAUGAAAAUCCAAGCAAAGUCUUUAUUCAGCCAGCAAGCUGGGGUCGACAGCACCUCCCCUGACACGCAGGCCGAGUCCGAGCUGCUGAUCCCCAAGCAACUUUAGGUAUGGUUUAUAUGGGAUUUCUACAGUCAUUGCACCGGAGCCUGAACAUUACCCCAACCAACGAAUUUGAAAC